CCUACGGGAGGCAGCAGUGAGGAAUAUUGGUCAAUGGACGCAAGCCUGAACCAGCCAUGUCGCGUGCAGGAAGACGGCCCUAUGAGUUGUAAACUGCUUUUGUACGAGGGUAAACGCAGAUACGCGUAUCUGUCUGAAAGUAUCGUACGAAUAAGGAUCGGCUAACUCCGUGCCAGCAGCCGCGGUAAUACGGAGGAUUCAAGCGUUUUCCGGAUUUAUUGGGGUUAAAGGGUGCGUAGGCGGUCUGUUAAGUUAGAGGUGAAAUCCCGAGGCUCAACUUCGGAAUUGCCGUUGAUACUGGUCGGCUAGAGAGUAGUAGCGGUAGGCGGAAUGUAUGGUGUAGCGGUGAAAUGCUUAGAGAUCAUACAGAACACCGAUUGCGAAGGCAGCUUACCGGGCUACAUCUGACGUUGAGGCACGAAAGCGUGGGGAGCAAACAGGAUUAGAUACCCCAGUAGUC
This 460-nucleotide ribosomal RNA is filed under the name uncultured bacterium. RNAcentral describes it as "partial 16S ribosomal RNA". It matches the Rfam family "Bacterial small subunit ribosomal RNA", at positions 338 to 795 of the family's 1533-position model. The record is from RNAcentral.